Molecule: ribosomal RNA, 445 nt
Filed under: uncultured bacterium
Lineage: Bacteria
Description: partial 16S ribosomal RNA
Rfam family: Bacterial small subunit ribosomal RNA
Source: RNAcentral
GUGAGGAAUAUUGGACAAUGGGCGCAAGCCUGAUCCAGCCAUGCCGCGUGCAGGAAGACGCAUCUAUGGUGUGUAAACUGCUUUUGUACGGGAAGAAACACUCCCUCGUGAGGGAGCUUGACGGUACCGUAAGAAUAAGGAUCGGCUAACUCCGUGCCAGCAGCCGCGGUAAUACGGAGGAUCCAAGCGUUAUCCGGAAUCAUUGGGUUUAAAGGGUCCGUAGGCGGUUUAAUAAGUCAGUGGUGAAAGCCCAUCGCUCAACGAUGGAACGGCCAUUGUGACUGUUAGACUUGAAUUACAAGGAAGUAACUAGAAUAUGUAGUGUAGCGGUGAAAUGCUUAGAUAUUACAUGGAAUACCAAUUGCGAAGGCAGGUUACUACUUGUGGAUUGACGCUGAUGGACGAAAGCGUGGGGAGCGAACAGGAUUAGAAACCCCUGUAGUCC